Rhinopithecus roxellana (golden snub-nosed monkey) is the source of this 1605-nucleotide long non-coding RNA. RefSeq lists it as uncharacterized. The record is from RefSeq and is a predicted model, not a curated record. Lineage: Eukaryota; Metazoa; Chordata; Mammalia; Primates; Cercopithecidae. The transcript is spliced from 4 exons.
UGAACAUCUUUUCUAGAUGUAUGUCUUCUCUUGUGACUUUCUGACUGUGUCCUUAGCAAGGGCUGUCUGUCUGUCUUGUCUCUAUGUCUCUCUUGAUACCCAGUUAAGAAAUGUGACCAUCCUAAAAGCUAAUACAUGAUAUGGAAAGAAAGAAUUAGUGGGGCUUCAAAUGCAAUCUGAAUCCAGGCACAUGGACCACAGCCUCAGCCGCAGCUGGAGCUUGGAGCUGACCUGUGUUCUUCCAGGAGGGGCAGGUGAGGAAGAGCUGCAGGUGAUUCAGCCUGAGAAGUCCGUAUCAGUCACAGCUGGAGACUAUGUCACACCUGGAGACUGGUCAUUGCACUGUGACCUCCCUGAUGCCUAUAGGGCCCAUCCAGUGAUUCAGAGGAACUGGACCAGGCCAGGAAUUAAUCUACAGCCAAAAAGAAGGCAACUUCCCCUGGAUAAGAACUGUUUCAGACAUCACAAAGAAAAACAACAUGAACUAUUCCAUCCAUAUCUGUAGCAUCAUGCCGGCAGAGCCGGCACCUACUACCAUGUGAAAUUCCAGAAAGGGAGCUUAACGCAGAGAUUAAGUCUGGACCAGGCACCCAGAUGUUUGUGUGUGCUAAGCCCUCUCUUCCAAAGAUUUCUGGCCACUCCAACAGGGAUAGCCCAGGCCAACUAGUGAAUCUCACCUGCACCUCAACUGGCUUCUUUGCAGAAAACAUAUAUAUGAAAUGACUCAAAAAUGGCAUAGCGCUUCCAGCCUUUCAGAGCCACGUCUCCUCACCUGCAGAUGCUUCCUCCUACACUGUCAUCAGCACUGCUACAGUGACCCUUGGCUUCUCCUCACUCCACUCCCAGGUCACCUGCCAGUUGGCUCAUAGUGAAUUGCAGAGCCCCCUCAGAGGGCAUGUGAACAUCUCCCAAUUUCUCCAAGAGCUCCCUUCCGUCUAACGUCUUUGGGAAGUGGAACUUCAUUCACUAAUUCGACAGGUUUUUGUUGAGCAUCUGCUAUGUGGUGGCAUCAUUCUAGGUGCUGGAGAUUCUAAGGUAAACCAAGCAGACCUGGUUCUGCCUUGCUGAGUUUACAGUCAUGUGAACCCAAUCAACCAAGACGCAAACAACUGUGUGGUUAUGAUUCAUCACAUUUGCUAUGAAGAGAAAGAACAAAUUGUUGAAAUAUAUGAAAAGGAGAGAAAUCCAGUUUACUCAGGAAAUGCCUUUUUGAAGAAAUGAUGUUUGAGCCAAGGCAUGGAGUAUGAAAAGGAGUCAGCCAAGCAAAGUGCAGUGUUCAAGGCACAGGAACCAGAGCAUGCAAAGGCCCUGUGCUGCCGUGGGGAGCAAGACAUGUCUGAGGAGCAGAGACGAAGCCAGUGUGGCUGAGGCCUAGUGAGAGGAUGCUGUGGAUCAGGAAUUCCAGCAGGGCUGGGCAAGGACAGCUUGCUCUCUUCCAUGAUGGUGAAGCCUCAGCUGGACAAUUCAGAGGCUGGAAUCACCUGAAGACUCCUUCACUAACAUGCCUGGCCAUUAGUGCUGGCUAUUCUUGGCAUGGGCUUUUCCUUAUUAUCUUUCUGUUGCCAGAAAAAGAGUUCCUAUUCACAUUCCAAGAGGGGGUUGUUG